UGAGCUCACAAAACCCUGCUCCUCUUCUCCAAACACCAUUCAAACCAAGCCUCAAUUUCAGUCCAAAUCCAAGCGAGUGAGCCUCAAAUCUCUCCUCACGCGUUCCUCCUUCUCUCUCCAUCACCAUUUCUAACGAUUUCUGACACCGAAGAUUCUACUUCUCUUCACUCGCUCGAUUUUAGAGAUAAGGCGCGCGAUUGAAGGUCCUAGAGACAAUUCGUUGGAUGGGUGUGAGACGUUGGAUUGAUUUCAUUCAAUCCAAGCCCCACAUUCAUCAAGGGUUCAUUUUUAUAAAGGACCAUAUCCGAUAUUGAAAUUUUUGGGAAGAAAAAAGGUUGAAAGGGUUCUAAAAAGUCUUUCUUCUUCUCUGUUGUUCAUCUUAGUUUAAUUUCAAUUACUAUAAAGAAAAAUACCAAAAAAAAAACUAAUUACGUUUUGUGUUAAUCUAUGUCUCUUGUUCUAUGUGAAUCUGGUUUGAACCUGAAGUGUGAGUUUGUUGUUCUAAAUUUUAUUUUAAGUUAAUGGAAGUCGACCGAGUGCUGUUGGUUUCGAGUUGCUCCAAAGCUGUUCGCUUAGCUGCUGACUCACGUGUUCAUUGCGAUCUCUGUUAGGACUCGCUUCCUCUGAGAAUCAUUGUAACCCUUGAAUUGCAUUAAUCAAAAGUUUAUUUUCAGGUUCACUUCCAAACUCUCCUAUUUUGCUAUAUUACAUGAGUUGAAAUAUUUGUUUGUUUGAACUGAUUGCUAGAAAACUAAGAAGUAAAACAUCACUAAACGGUUUUAGGAUGCUCGGUUGAGCUUUGAGUUAGUAUUUUAAGUUUUUUUGUCCGUUUGUUAAUGGUUCGAGUCUGAAACUGUCCUAACUCAUCUGUCACUAAAAGUCCAUUUGUGCUUCUUUGACGUGGUUUGGAAAUUGGCUCAUGUUCAUAUUUGAAUCCCUGCGGGCUAGGUUGAUGUGUCGAUUCCCAAACUUCUGUUAAUUGUUACUAACUGUUGCUAAAGUUAUUUGGAAAUUCAAUGUUGUAGUUGAAUGGAAAUGUGUAUUUGUUGCUGGAUUGAUUUAGUUGAAGUUAAGUCACAAUUGGUCUUAUUGCUCAAGUCUGUUGGUAUUUCGAUCCUCUUUGUCAUGCUCUUGCACUAAUUUAUACCAGUUUUUUGUUAUUAUUUGCAAAUGAAAGAUAAUCCCAAACAGUCAUAUACCUCUUUCCAGUUGUGCAAUCGAGUUAAGUGUCAAUUGAAUUCUUGAAUAUAUUUUUAGCAUUCACUGAUUGUAUAUGUUCUAUUAACUCUAUUUUCCUUCUCUUGUUCGAGACUUGCCUGCCUUGUUACCAUUAUAAGAGUUCUGUUCUUCCGAGCUGCUGAAGAAGCCAACUAGAGCAGGCAGUAUUUAGGACAUUUGUCUGGACUGUUGGGCCCUGCUGUAAGUCUGCCUUGUUUUGUAGAUGUCUAGGCAGUCUGUUUGCACAAUGUCAAGUACAAAAUUCUGCACUGGUUGGUUUGUAGCAGCCUUGAUUACUAGCAGUUCAUGUUCUUAUAUGUGUUCUGUCUGGUUCUUGAUAGGGUUGUUGGUAAGCUGCUGCCCUCCUCUAUUAUUUCUGAUACAAAAAUUUUA
Molecule: long non-coding RNA, 1611 nt
Filed under: Nicotiana benthamiana
Lineage: Eukaryota; Viridiplantae; Streptophyta; Magnoliopsida; Solanales; Solanaceae
Description: long non-coding RNA (NBEN_LNC015176)
Rfam family: MIR6151 microRNA precursor family (bases 216-286)
Source: RNAcentral